GAUGAACGCUGGCGGCGUGCUUAACACAUGCAAGUCGAACGAAGCAUUUAGGACAGAUUACUUCGGUUUGAAGUUCUUUAUGACUGAGUGGCGGACGGGUGAGUAACGCGUGGGUAACCUGCCUUGUACUGGGGGAUAGCAGCUGGAAACGGCUGGUAAUACCGCAUAAGCGCACAAUGUUGGAUGACAUGGUGUGAAAAACUCCGGUGGUAUAAGAUGGACCCGCGUCUGAUUAGCUAGUUGGUGAGAUAACAGCCCACCAAGGCGACGAUCAGUAGCCGACCUGAGAGGGUGACCGGCCACAUUGGGACUGAGACACGGCCCAGACUCCUACGGGAGGCAGCAGUGGGGAAUAUUGCACAAUGGAGGAAACUCUGAUGCAGCGACGCCGCGUGAGUGAAGAAGUAAUUCGUUAUGUAAAGCUCUAUCAGCAGGGAAGAUAGUGACGGUACCUGACUAAGAAGCUCCGGCUAAAUACGUG
This 481-nucleotide ribosomal RNA is filed under the name uncultured bacterium. RNAcentral's name for it is "partial 16S ribosomal RNA". It matches the Rfam family "Bacterial small subunit ribosomal RNA", at positions 28 to 507 of the family's 1533-position model. The record is from RNAcentral.